GUCCUGCCAGUAGCUCUCUUCCCAUCUCUCUGCGAGUUCGUCUUUCAUAACAACCCUCUGGUGGCCCAUACACGAGGUGAAAACCGAAAUCCCAAAGGUGCCGAAGCAGCCUCUGGUGCUCCAUCACCCACGCGUGACGACAACCAAGUCUCCCUCAAAGGAUAUGCUAGAGCCAGAGGCAGAGCUGGCUGAAGAUCUGCCCACUACCAAAAGCACUUCUGUGGAGUCAGAGAUGCCCACUGAGAGCCUGGAAGGCCUUUCCCUGUCUCGCCGGACCUUCGUGCCACUGCCUCCCAUCUGCUCCGACUCCACUGUGCAUAGUGAAGAGACCCUGUCCCACCUGAGUGACACAGCUGUCCGCCUCAGCCCAGAGCGCCCAUCAGAUGAGGACUCCAAGAGCACAGAGUCCAUCUU
This 414-nucleotide small RNA is filed under the name Pongo abelii (Sumatran orangutan). RNAcentral describes it as "processed transcript". The record is from RNAcentral. Lineage: Eukaryota; Metazoa; Chordata; Mammalia; Primates; Hominidae.